Molecule: ribosomal RNA, 505 nt
Filed under: uncultured bacterium
Lineage: Bacteria
Description: bacterial SSU rRNA
Rfam family: Bacterial small subunit ribosomal RNA
Source: RNAcentral
GACGAACGCUGGCGGCGUGCCUAAUACAUGCAAGUCGAACGCACUCUCGUUUAGAUUGAAGGAGCUUGCUCCUGAUUGAUAAACAUUUGAGUGAGUGGCGGACGGGUGAGUAACACGUGGGUAACCUGCCCUAAAGCGGGGGAUAACAUUUGGAAACAGAUGCUAAUACCGCAUAAAACCUAACACCGCAUGGUGUAGGGUUGAAAGAUGGUUUCGGCUAUCACUUUAGGAUGGACCCGCGGUGCAUUAGUUAGUUGGUGAGGUAAAGGCUCACCAAGACCGUGAUGCAUAGCCGACCUGAGAGGGUAAUCGGCCACACUGGGACUGAGACACGGCCCAGACUCCUACGGGAGGCAGCAGUAGGGAAUCUUCCACAAUGGACGAAAGUCUGAUGGAGCAACGCCGCGUGAGUGAAGAAGGUUUUCGGAUCGUAAAACUCUGUUGUUGGAGAAGAAUGUAUCUGAUAGUAACUGAUCAGGUAGUGACGGUAUCCAACCAGAAAGCC